AGCAGCCGCCGCGGUAAAACGAGGGGUGCAAGCGUUAUUCGGAUUGAUUGGGUGUAAAGGGUGUGCAGACGGCUUAUUAAGUCACUUGUUAAAUUCUUCGGCCUAACUGAAGGUCUGCAAGUGAUACUGAUGAGCUAGAGGGUGGAAGAGAGAAGUGGAAUUCUCGGAGUAGCGGUAAAAUGCGUAGAUCUCGAGAGGAACACCAAUGGCGAAGGCAGCUUCUUGGUCCAUUCCUGACGUUCAUACACGAAAGCGUGGGGAGCAAACAGGAUUAGAUACCCCAGUAGUCCCUGUCUCUUAUAA
RNAcentral lists this ribosomal RNA (303 nucleotides) under uncultured bacterium. RNAcentral describes it as "partial 16S ribosomal RNA". It matches the Rfam family "Bacterial small subunit ribosomal RNA", at positions 507 to 809 of the family's 1533-position model. The record is from RNAcentral.